GUCAGAAUGGCCGAGCGGUCUAAGGCGCUAGACUCAAGGUUGUGCCCCUUCUCCAAAACAGAGAGAUUUCUGGUCUCCGAAUGGAGGCGUGGGUUCAAAUCCCACUUCUGACA
Molecule: transfer RNA, 113 nt
Filed under: Astyanax mexicanus (Mexican tetra)
Lineage: Eukaryota; Metazoa; Chordata; Actinopteri; Characiformes; Acestrorhamphidae
Rfam family: tRNA
About the family: Transfer RNA (tRNA) molecules are approximately 80 nucleotides in length. Their secondary structure includes four short double-helical elements and three loops (D, anti-codon, and T loops). Further hydrogen bonds mediate the characteristic L-shaped molecular structure. tRNAs have two regions of fundamental functional importance: the anti-codon, which is responsible for specific mRNA codon recognition, and the 3' end, to which the tRNAs corresponding amino acid is attached (by aminoacyl-tRNA synthetases). tRNAs cope with the degeneracy of the genetic code in two manners: having more than one tRNA (with a specific anti-codon) for a particular amino acid; and 'wobble' base-pairing, i.e. permitting non-standard base-pairing at the 3rd anti-codon position.
Source: Rfam by way of RNAcentral